UUUCAGUUGGUUUGCCGCGAGGACCAGGGUAAUGAUUAAUAGGGAUAGUUGGGGGCAUUAAUAUUUAAUUGUCAGAGGUGAAAUUCUUGGAUUUAUGAAAGAUUAACUUCUGCGAAAGCAUCUGCCAAGGAUGUUUUCAUUAAUCAAGAACGAAAGUUAGGGGAUCGAAGACGAUCAGAUACCGUCGUAGUCUUAACCAUAAACGAUGCCGACCAGCGAUUAAGAAAGGUUAUAAGU
Molecule: ribosomal RNA, 237 nt
Filed under: Acanthamoeba sp.
Lineage: Eukaryota; Discosea; Longamoebia; Acanthamoebidae
Description: partial small subunit ribosomal RNA
Rfam family: Eukaryotic small subunit ribosomal RNA
Source: RNAcentral